CAUGUCUUUUUGGUGUAUAAUUUAAAGUCUAAUCUGCCCAGUGAUGUUAUUUCAACGGCCGCGGUAUUUUGACCGUGCAAAGGUAGCGUGAUAAUUAGUUUUUUGAUUGAGAACUGGUAUGAAGGAUUGGACGAGGAAAAUUCUGUCUCAAUGUAACCUAUAUAGAAUUUAAUAUUUAAGUUAAAAAGCUUAAAUUGUUUUAGAGGACGAGAAGACCCUAUAGAGUUUAAAACUUUCAAUUUAUUUAUAUGUUAGUAUUAUUUUUAUUUAUGGGUUUUUAAGUUUUUGGUUGGGGUGACUUAAAGAUUUAAUAAACUCUUUAAUAUUAAAACAGUGAUGUCUGGACUUAUGAUCCAUAAAUUAUGAUUAAAAGAUUAAAUUACCUUAGGGAUAACAGCGUUAUUUUCUAUAAAGUUCUUAUUGAAUUGAAAGUUUGCGACCUCGAUGUUGGAUUAAAAUUAAGCUUUGGUGCAGAAGCUAGAGUAUUAAGUCUGUUCGACUUUUAAAAUUUUACAUGAUCUGAGU
Molecule: ribosomal RNA, 525 nt
Filed under: Eucnemidae sp. UPOL 001330
Lineage: Eukaryota; Metazoa; Arthropoda; Insecta; Coleoptera; Eucnemidae
Description: partial 16S ribosomal RNA
Rfam family: Archaeal large subunit ribosomal RNA
Source: RNAcentral